This is a long non-coding RNA of Callithrix jacchus (white-tufted-ear marmoset), 1705 nucleotides long. The record is from Ensembl. Lineage: Eukaryota; Metazoa; Chordata; Mammalia; Primates; Cebidae.
CAAUUUAAGAAAAUCUGUUAGUAAUUUAUCACAAGGAAAUAUUGGUAAAACUUGUUAUUAAUUUGAUUGUAGCAUUUUAUUGAUACAUUGCAUAAUAUCCUGAAAUCUUGGAACCUGGAGUUGACAACUAUUUUUCUUAGAGCUAUGUGGAGACACUGUUGAAGUAGUGUAACAUAGCAUAAAGCAAAUGUGGAUGCUGUUAAGAGCCAAUGAAAGUCAUACAGAAGAACUCCUUUUAUGAAAAAUGAUUUUACAUAAAUACUCUUAAAGCAAUAGCAAUGAUGCAAAACUUCAUUGAUGUAUUAGAAUGACAAACAGCCAUUAUGCUUCCUGGUGUUUUUGCCAUCUCCGUUUGAAUUUUAUUUUCUGCUUCUGUUUUGUAAGGUGUGUUUUCUGUCAUUCUAAUUACUUUUAACAAAAUCACACCUGUGCGCACUUUUUUAUUAAAUAAGCAUUUAGUUCUGGUCUCUGCCUCCAAGAGAUGAAACUGAGUUGGACUAUUUGUUUCAAUUUUAAUGUUCAAGUUUUUACCUUGUAAGACGGUGAUGAGUUCUGGGUUUGUUUAGUAGACAGAAUAAUGCUCUCAAAAGAUGCCCACAUUCUAAUCCCCAAAACCUGUGAAUAUGUCACCUAACAUGGCAAAAGGGACUUUUGUAACUAUACGUUUUUUGUGUUUACAUGUAAUUAGCUGAAAUAUUGUUUAGACUUCCACUGUGUGUCUUUACCAAUUAUCAGUUUAACAGUUUCUCUAUUAUGAAGAUAUAGAUUGACAUCAACAUUUGCUAUUAAUCAUUUAUUAUUUCUUCCUUUUAGAAAGUUGAAUUUCUGGAGCAAGAGAUACAAAUUAAGACUAUUGUUACAUGUUGCCUACAUACAUGACCCUCAAAAGCAUGAUUCCCAGUGGCAUCUCAACAGCAUACAUAAACAAUGGAACUCUAAUUACGCAUAAGUUGGUGAUCUUUAUGUUGUCUAAGAGGACUCCUUGGCUCUGUCGAUUUUUUUCCACUUAUUUCCAGUUUUUAGUCUCAAACUGUAUAAUUUCAGUUGAACUUGAUCUUCAAGUAUAGCAAUUAUUUCUUCUCUCUGCUCAAAAUUUCCUGUUGAAAGCUUCUGUUGGGUGUUUAUUUCAGUUAUUAUACUUUUUAUUUUCAAUAUUUAUAUUUUUUGUUCAUUUAUAGUGCUUUAUGGAUAUAUUCUAUUCUUUGUAGCAUUGUUCUGAUUUUCGUUAGUACUUUGUCCAUGGUUUCAGUUUUUGCUUGCUCUGAGGCUAAAGAUCACAUGCGGGAAAUAUCUUAGGGUCUUUUUCAGUCUAUUAUAAAAUUUCAGUGUACCUUAUGCAAAUUAUGUAGCUUUGUAGCUCCUCUUUCACACAUGGGAUCUUUAACAAGUCCAUAUUCUGCAAAGUAGUUCCUAGCCAGUUUUUUUUUUUUUUUUUAACCUGGAGAGAUUUCCCAGGUAGACAAAGAGGCAAACCCCUUGUGCCAGUCCUUCAGGGAAUCAUCAGACGGAUUAUAAUAGACAGACACAAUUUCUUAAGAACAAAGUUCACUCUACUUUUCUCCAGAACCAGGAAGCCACAUGUAGCUCACCUCCAUGCUAGGAAGAGUGGUAGGGCAACUCCUACAAAGUUGAUUCUGAGAGUUUUGCUGUUUUGUUUUUUUUUUUUAUGGUUUCUGUGAAUGUUAGAGCCCUUAGAUGUCCUGAC